AUACGUAGGGGGCUAGCGUUAUCCGGAUUUACUGGGCGUAAAGCGCGCGUAGGCGGAUCGCUAAGCGGAACCUCUAAUCCGAGGGCUCAACCCCCGGCCGGGUUCCGAACUGGCGGUCUCGAGUGCGGUAGGGGCAAGUGGAAUUCCAUGUGUAGCGGUGGAAUGCGCAGAUAUAUGGAAGAACACCGAUGGCGAAGGCAGCUUGCUGGGCCGUCACUGACGCUGAGGUGCGAAAGCGUGGGGAGC
Molecule: ribosomal RNA, 246 nt
Filed under: uncultured bacterium
Lineage: Bacteria
Description: partial 16S ribosomal RNA
Rfam family: Bacterial small subunit ribosomal RNA
Source: RNAcentral